AACCGUGGCCUCCUCUGCUGCUCCAGCUCCAGCCGUGGCCUCCUUCUCAGCUCCAGCCGUGGCCUCCUCUGCUGCUCCAGCUCCAGCCGUGGCCUCCUCUGCUGCUCCAGCUCCAGCCGUGGCCUCCUUCUCAGCUCCAGUUGUGGCCUCCUCUCCUAGUCCAGCUCCAGCCGUGACCUCUUCUGCUGCUCCAGCCAUGGCCUCCUUCUCAGCUCCAGCCGUGGCCUCCUCUGCUGCUCCAGCCGUGGCCUCCUUCUCAGCUCCAGCCGUGGCCUCCUCUGCUGCUCCAGCUCCAGCUGUGGCCUCCUUCUCAGCUCCAGCCGUGGCCUCCUCUCCUACUCCAGCUCCAGCCGUGGCCUCUUCUGCUGCUCCAGCCAUGGCCUCCUUCUCAGCUCCAGCCGUGGCCUCCUCUGCUGCUCCAGCCGUGGCCUCCUUCUCAGCUCCAGCCGUGGCCUCCUCUGCUGCUCCAGCUCCAGCUGUGGCCUCCUUCUCAGCUCCAGCCGUGGCCUCCUCUCCUACUCCAGCUCCAGCCGUGGCCUCCUCUGCUGCUCCAGCUCCAGCUGUGGCCUCCUUCUCAGCUCCAGCCGUGGCCUCCUUCUCAGCUCCAGCCGUGGCCUCCUCUGCUGCUCCAGCUCCAGCUGUGGCCUCCUUCUCAGCUCCAGCCGUGGCCUCCUCUGCUGCUCCAGUUCCAGCCGUGGCCUCCUUCUCAGCUCCAGCCUUGGCCUCCUCUGCUGCUCCAGCUCCAGCCGUGGCCUCCUUCUCAGCUCCAGCUGUGGCCUCCUCUGAUGCUCCAGCUCCAGCUCCAGCUGUGGCCUUCUUCUCAGCUCCAGCCAUGGCCUCCUCUGCUGCUCCAGCUCCAGCUCCAGCCGUGGCCUCCUCUGCUGCUUCAGCUCCAGCCGUCUCCUCCUCUCCAGAAGUUUCAGUGGCAUUUUCUUUACUCAUUCGAUACACAGAUAUUUAUAUUUCAGAUGAAGAUGAGUAUGAGUAA
This 988-nucleotide long non-coding RNA is filed under the name Carassius auratus (goldfish). RNAcentral's name for it is "lncRNA (ENSCARG00000050980.1)". Lineage: Eukaryota; Metazoa; Chordata; Actinopteri; Cypriniformes; Cyprinidae. The record is from RNAcentral.